Arabidopsis thaliana (thale cress) is the source of this 296-nucleotide long non-coding RNA. RefSeq annotates it as other RNA. The record is from RefSeq. NCBI's taxonomy places the organism in Eukaryota, Viridiplantae, Streptophyta, Magnoliopsida, Brassicales, Brassicaceae. The transcript has 2 exons.
GUAAAACACCCCAUCUUAUAAGCAAAUUUAGUCUUGUUUCUAUAUAUCUUUUUCUUAAUGGUGCUUAAUAUAUCGUUACUGGUGUGAUUUGGAAUGAUCAACCAAAUCAUGAUACAUGGACAAAACACCAAUUAUCUACGAGGAGGCUGACAAAUGAUAUGGCUUCCCAAACAAUUACGAUGUCCAUAGCUAUGCUUGGAGACAAACUGAGCUAGACCACGACAUGUAAGAACUAAGAAGCGAUGUUAAGUUUGCCUCCAGUAACAACAUUCAAUAAACAACCAAAUCCUUUCGAG